GGAAGUGUGGUCGAGCGGUUUAAGGCAACGGUCUUGAAAACAGGCGAAGGAGUGAUCGUUCCGUGAUUUCGAAUCUCACCGCUUCCG
RNAcentral lists this transfer RNA (87 nucleotides) under Paraburkholderia sp. BL17N1. RNAcentral describes it as "tRNA-Ser". It matches the Rfam family "tRNA". Rfam says of the family: Transfer RNA (tRNA) molecules are approximately 80 nucleotides in length. Their secondary structure includes four short double-helical elements and three loops (D, anti-codon, and T loops). RNAcentral also lists the same sequence under 1 other name. Lineage: Bacteria; Pseudomonadati; Pseudomonadota; Betaproteobacteria; Burkholderiales; Burkholderiaceae. The record is from RNAcentral.